Molecule: non-coding RNA, 29 nt
Filed under: Mus musculus (house mouse)
Lineage: Eukaryota; Metazoa; Chordata; Mammalia; Rodentia; Muridae
Source: RNAcentral
UGAGACUACCACAUACUGAAGAGUAUUGG